GCAAAAGAUUGAAGGUUGUCAAGAGGUCAUAUGUACAAUAUGAAUAACCAGAACUAAAUUUCUCCUGGAGACAAAGAAACCAAAGCUUACAGCAGGAUUCCGUGGACUGACGAGUGAGACGAUCCCAGAACACCUCAUACAGUCCUUGGGACACAGGAGGCCUACUGUCCCUCUGUUUGUUUGCCUUUCACUAUAUCCAGAAAAGACCAAAAUGAAUUUUCAUUCAAUUUAGAAGGUUCUCAGGAUCCCAUGGAUCGUUUCUGUCAUGCAGAAGACUGUCUCAAGGGCUUCUGUCCAUGAGAGCAAAGGAUCUGCACCUUUUUGAGAGCUGAGCGGCGUUGCUCGCAAAAUGUCUCCUGGUCUUAACCAAUAUGGGAGAUGUGGUCCCCUGAGGACAAUCUUCAACAAGGAAAAAGGCUUCUCCGUUAUUCUGAAGGUUGAUGGUUGGCGAUGAGGCCUGGGAAGAAGGCAGCCAUGUAUGGUCAGGUCCUCUGACAUAGAGGCCAUCCUGUAGAACGCCUAGCAGUAUUAAGUGCCUCAUGAUUCACUCCCCACCAGCUCUGGAUUUAUGGUCAGGCAGCCAGGCAGUACAGAUGACUCAAUCAGCAUGCUACGCGUUUAGAUUUUUUCUUUUACAAGGCAAUGAUGGUUCUACCAUCAAGCUUUUUGCUUUCCUAAAGAAAGUCCUAUUGUCUGCUCGCAGCGCUGGUCUUUAGAUAAGUAAGAAGUGUAUGAGGUAUCAAGUGCCUUGAAUGUCACCUGCUGGAGAGCAAAAUACGACUACUAAUAACUCAGUUUAUUGAGCUCUUUUAGUAUGGGCCAGGCACUCUGCUAAGCUUUUUACAUACAGAAAGUCUUUUUUUUUUUUCAAUAUAGCUUUUUUAUUUCCAGAGAGCAUGUGCACCCACCAGAGAGAAAGAGAGAGAAAGC
This is a long non-coding RNA of Tupaia belangeri chinensis (Chinese tree shrew), 930 nucleotides long. RefSeq lists it as uncharacterized. The record is from RefSeq and is a predicted model, not a curated record. The transcript has 3 exons. Lineage: Eukaryota; Metazoa; Chordata; Mammalia; Scandentia; Tupaiidae.